CAAGGUUUCCGUAGGUGAACCUGCGGAAGGAUCAUUAUUGAAUUCACUAACAAGGUUGUUGCUGGCUCCUCUGGGGCAUGUGCACGCCUUGUAAGUCAUUUCUACCACCUGUGAACCUUUUGUAGUCUCGGGGAAUGCUAAAGCUCAAAGGAAACUUUGGAUUUGAAUGCUGCAGGCUUGAAAAAGUCGGCUUCAUUCUACAGCUGAACCUGGGUCUAUGCUUUAUAUACCCCAAUUGUAUGUCUAUGAAUGUAAUUGAAGGGCUUUAACGCCUUUAAAUUUAUACAACUUUCAGCAACGGAUCUCUUGGCUCUCGCAUCGAUGAAGAACGCAGCGAAAUGCGAUAAGUAAUGUGAAUUGCAGAAUUCAGUGAAUCAUCGAAUCUUUGAACGCACCUUGCGCCCCUUGGUAUUCCGAGGGGCAUGCCUGUUUGAGUGUCAUUAAAUUCUCAACCUUAGAAGGCUUUUGAAGUCGUCUUAAGGCUUGGAUAUGGAGGCUGCGGGCUUGUUUCAAGUCGGCUCCUCUUAAAUGCAUUAGCUGGGUUUGCGCCUUCAGCCUAUUGGUGUGAUAAUAUCUACGCCUCUUGGGUCGUUAGCGUGUUUACUUCUCCAGCUUCUAACCGUCCUUUACCGGACAAUACUUGACCAUUUGACCUCAAAUCAGGUAGGACUACCCGCUGAACUU
Molecule: ribosomal RNA, 684 nt
Filed under: Hohenbuehelia sp. ANT03-172
Lineage: Eukaryota; Fungi; Basidiomycota; Agaricomycetes; Agaricales; Pleurotaceae
Description: eukaryotic LSU rRNA
Rfam family: 5.8S ribosomal RNA (bases 287-440)
Source: RNAcentral